CGGCCCGGCCAUAGCGGCUGGGUAACACCCGGACUCGUUCGAUCCCGGAAGUUAAGCCAGCCGUGUUAGGUGUGGCUGUGGCUUCCGAAAGGGGCCGU
RNAcentral lists this ribosomal RNA (98 nucleotides) under Ignisphaera aggregans. RNAcentral also lists the same sequence under 1 other name. The record is from RNAcentral. Lineage: Archaea; Thermoproteati; Thermoproteota; Thermoprotei; Desulfurococcales; Desulfurococcaceae.